RNAcentral lists this small RNA (28 nucleotides) under Bombyx mori (domestic silkworm). RNAcentral's name for it is "ovarian small RNA-37938". Lineage: Eukaryota; Metazoa; Arthropoda; Insecta; Lepidoptera; Bombycidae. The record is from RNAcentral.
UUGCUGUGGGAUGACUGUUGAUGAAUUG